This 279-nucleotide ribosomal RNA is filed under the name uncultured bacterium. RNAcentral's name for it is "partial 16S ribosomal RNA". It matches the Rfam family "Bacterial small subunit ribosomal RNA", at positions 506 to 784 of the family's 1533-position model. The record is from RNAcentral.
UGCCAGCCGCCGCGGUAAUACGGAGGGUGCAAGCAUUGUUCGGAAUUAUUGGGCGUAAAGCGCGUGUAGGCGGUUCGUUAAGUCUGAUGUGAAAGCCCGGGGCUCAACCCCGGAAGUGCAUUGGAAACUGGUAAGCUAGAGGAUGUGAGAGGUGAGUGGAAUUCCGAGUGUAGAGGUGAAAUUCGUAGAUAUUCGGAAGAACACCAGUGGCGGAGGCGACUCACUGGCACAUUUCUGACGCUGAGGCGCGAAAGCGUGGGGAGCAAACAGGAUUAGAUA